CUUUCUCUCCAGAGUUGCUUUCUUUUUCAGAAGCCCUGCCUUCUGAAAUCCACUUUAUUUUUUAAAGCUGAAAACAACAGACAUUUCUGCGCUUCUUCACAGGCAUCAUUUCAAGCUGGGCUACAUUUCUCCCACUGGAUUAGACCCUGAAAUAAUCUGGCGAUUUGUAGGCUAUUCCUUCCUAUUUAAGAGUGAGCUCCAUCAGAUCUGAUCAGAAAACUGUGCUCUUCAACUAGUCUCUGUCACUGGCUUUGAAUCGGCAAGGCCCCAAGGAACUGAAUGCUAUCGCCGUCCUGAGCAUGAGGAAGCAGGCGCUUUCUCAGCUGAAUCUCAGAAGAGAACCCAGUCUUGGCUGGCACUUUGAUUAUGGGCUUGUGAGAUCUAAGCAGAGGACCCAGCUAAAUAUGCC
This is a non-coding RNA of Manis javanica (Malayan pangolin), 409 nucleotides long. Lineage: Eukaryota; Metazoa; Chordata; Mammalia; Pholidota; Manidae. The record is from RefSeq and is a predicted model, not a curated record.